GACGAACGCUGGCGGCGUGCUUAACACAUGCAAGUCGAACGGAAAGGCCCUGCUUUUGUGGGGUGCUCGAGUGGCGAACGGGUGAGUAACACGUGAGUAACCUGCCCUUGACUUUGGGAUAACUUCAGGAAACUGGGGCUAAUACCGGAUAGGAGCUCCUGCUGCAUGGUGGGGGUUGGAAAGUUUCGGCGGUUGGGUAUGGACUCGCGGCUUAUCAGCUUGUUGGUGGGGUAGUGGCUUACCAAGGCUUUGACGGGUAGCCGGCCUGAGAGGGUGACCGGGAACAUGGGGACAGAGAUACGGCCCAGACGCAAAAGGGAGGAAGGAGUGGGGAAUAUUGCACAAAGGGCGGAAGCCUGAUGCAGCAACGCCGCGUGCGGGAUGACGGCCUUCGGGUUGUAAACCGCUUUCGCCUGUGACGAAGCGUGAGUGACGGUAAUGGGUAAAGAAGCACCGGCUAACUACGU
Molecule: ribosomal RNA, 467 nt
Filed under: uncultured bacterium
Lineage: Bacteria
Description: partial 16S ribosomal RNA
Rfam family: Bacterial small subunit ribosomal RNA
Source: RNAcentral